GGGAUAACUACUGGAAACGGUAGCUAAUACCGCAUAACGUCGCAAGACCAAAGAGGGGGACCUUCGGGCCUCUUGCCAUCAGAUGUGCCCAGAUGGGAUUAGCUAGUAGGUGGGGUAACGGCUCACCUAGGCGACGAUCCCUAGCUGGUCUGAGAGGAUGACCAGCCACACUGGAACUGAGACACGGUCCAG
RNAcentral lists this ribosomal RNA (192 nucleotides) under uncultured Enterobacterales bacterium. RNAcentral's name for it is "partial 16S ribosomal RNA". It matches the Rfam family "Bacterial small subunit ribosomal RNA", at positions 140 to 334 of the family's 1533-position model. The record is from RNAcentral. Lineage: Bacteria; Pseudomonadati; Pseudomonadota; Gammaproteobacteria; Enterobacterales.